UGUGUGAGGGGCUGUCAGCAACAUGCUACCCCAAAUCAUGAGAAGCCUAAAGCUUUUGGAACUUCUAUCUCAAACAGUGUUGGUGAAACAGCUUCCACUUCUCUGGGCAGUCAGAUAAAUGGUUCAGAACCAAAUAAAAGAGAGGGUUCUGACAGUAUUGAUCCAGCACUUCUGCUCCUACACCAGAAUGACAACACCAAUAGUCCUAUAGGCCAAAUAAAAAUGGAAGAAACCUUCCAUCCUGCUGGAGAAUCUGGAAGCACUUUUUCAUCAAAUUUGUUUCAGGCUUCGGCGGAGUUCUCUAAAA
This 307-nucleotide unclassified non-coding RNA is filed under the name Hevea brasiliensis (rubber tree). Lineage: Eukaryota; Viridiplantae; Streptophyta; Magnoliopsida; Malpighiales; Euphorbiaceae. The record is from RNAcentral.